This 253-nucleotide ribosomal RNA is filed under the name uncultured bacterium. RNAcentral's name for it is "partial 16S ribosomal RNA". It matches the Rfam family "Bacterial small subunit ribosomal RNA", at positions 524 to 776 of the family's 1533-position model. The record is from RNAcentral.
UACGUAGGUGGCAAGCGAUACUCGGAAUCACUAGGCGUAAAGCGCAGGUAGGCGGUUCGGUAAGUCUUUUGUGAAAGCUCCUGGCUCAACUGGGAGAGGUCAAAGGAAACUACCGGACUAGAGUUUGGUAGGGGAUACUGGAAUUCCUGGUGUAGCGGUGAAAUGCGUAGAUAUCAGGAGGAAUACCUAUGGCGAAAGCAGGUAUCUGGGCCACAACUGACGCUGAGCUGCGAAAGCUAGGGGAGCAAACAGG